UACGAAGGGGGCUAGCGUUGCUCGGAAUUACUGGGCGUAAAGGGAGCGUAGGCGGACAGUUUAGUCAGAGGUGAAAGCCCAGGGCUCAACCUUGGAAUUGCCUUUGAUACUGAUUGUCUUGAGUACGGGAGAGGUGUGUGGAACUCCGAGUGUAGAGGAGAAAUUCGUAGAUAUUCGGAAGAACACCAGUGGCGAAGGCGACACACUGGCCCGUUACUGACGCUGAGGCUCGAAAGCGUGGGGAGCAAACAGG
RNAcentral lists this ribosomal RNA (253 nucleotides) under uncultured bacterium. Its description in RNAcentral is "partial 16S ribosomal RNA". It matches the Rfam family "Bacterial small subunit ribosomal RNA", at positions 524 to 776 of the family's 1533-position model. The record is from RNAcentral.